Molecule: microRNA precursor, 78 nt
Organism: Caenorhabditis briggsae
Lineage: Eukaryota; Metazoa; Nematoda; Chromadorea; Rhabditida; Rhabditidae
Rfam family: mir-237 microRNA precursor family
Source: Rfam
AUGUUUGGUGGUCCCUGAGAAUGCUCCGACAUCUUCGAAGUAGCGUAGCUGUCGAGCACCAUUGGGGACCAGCGGAUU